AGCGGCCUGCCUUGUGCGAAUGGUUGCAGCCAUAUUUAUCCUACUGGUUAUUAAUUGGGAACCUGACAGUUCUUUGGCGGAUUGCAGACCUCCCGGCUUUGCCGGACGCAGGGAGCGCGAAGCCAGAGACAAGGUACCCACCUGCUUGAAAGAGUGGGUCAUAACUAGGCUGCAGACGGCAAGGCGGGUUUUAU
Molecule: non-coding RNA, 194 nt
Filed under: Ruminococcaceae bacterium OttesenSCG-928-A16
Lineage: Bacteria; Bacillati; Bacillota; Clostridia; Eubacteriales; Oscillospiraceae
Description: 6S RNA
Rfam family: 6S / SsrS RNA
About the family: E. coli 6S RNA was the first non coding RNA to be sequenced, but its function was unknown until recently. It consists of 184 nucleotides that fold into an extended hairpin structure with a large single-stranded internal bulge.
Source: RNAcentral